AAUGAAGACUAGACCUCACAAAAUAAUGAUCCUCCUCACACAAAAAACUUGGCUACAUAUCCCUUGUCUGCUAGCACUUUCCCCUUUUUUUUCUUUUUCCUUUUUCCCUUUUCUGUCGUUUCGGAGAUUUUCAAAACUACC
RNAcentral lists this non-coding RNA (141 nucleotides) under Heterosigma akashiwo. Lineage: Eukaryota; Raphidophyceae; Chattonellales; Chattonellaceae. The record is from RNAcentral.